Molecule: ribosomal RNA, 697 nt
Filed under: uncultured bacterium
Lineage: Bacteria
Description: bacterial SSU rRNA
Rfam family: Bacterial small subunit ribosomal RNA
Source: RNAcentral
GUCGAACGAGAAUCUACUGAAGGAGGAUUCGUCCAACGGAUGUAGAGGAAAGUGGCGGACGGGUGAGUAACGCGUGAGGAACCUGCCUUGAAGAGGGGGACAACAGUUGGAAACGACUGCUAAUACCGCAUGAAGCAUAGGGGUCGCAUGAUCUUUAUGCCAAAGAUUUAUCGCUUCAAGAUGGCCUCGCGUCUGAUUAGCUAGUUGGCGGGGUAACGGCCCACCAAGGCGACGAUCAGUAGCCGGACUGAGAGGUUGAACGGCCACAUUGGGACUGAGAUACGGCCCAGACUCCUACGGGAGGCAGCAGUGGGGAAUAUUGGGCAAUGGGCGCAAGCCUGACCCAGCAACGCCGCGUGAAGGAAGAAGGCUUUCGGGUUGUAAACUUCUUUUAAGAGGGAAGAGCAGAAGACGGUACCUCUAGAAUAAGCCACGGCUAACUACGUGCCAGCAGCCGCGGUAAUACGUAGGUGGCAAGCGUUGUCCGGAUUUACUGGGUGUAAAGGGCGUGCAGCCGGGUCUGCAAGUCAGAUGUGAAAUCCAUGGGCUCAACCCAUGAACUGCAUUUGAAACUGUAGAUCUUGAGUGUCGGAGGGGCAAUCGGAAUUCCUAGUGUAGCGGUGAAAUGCGUAGAUAUUAGGAGGAACACCAGUGGCGAAGGCGGAUUGCUGGACGAUAACUGACGGUGAGGCGCGAA